This 29-nucleotide non-coding RNA is filed under the name Mus musculus (house mouse). Lineage: Eukaryota; Metazoa; Chordata; Mammalia; Rodentia; Muridae. The record is from RNAcentral.
UAUGAUGAAAUUUACAUGCUUUGAAAUGU